GACGAACGCUGGCGGCGUGCCUAAUACAUGCAAGUCGAGCGCAGGAAAUCAUCCGAACCUCCCGGGGGACGUUGAUGGAAUGAGCGGCGGACGGGUGAGUAACACGUAAAGAACCUGCCCUCAGGUCUGGGAUAACCACGAGAAAUCGGGGCUAAUACCGGAUGGGUCAUCGGACCGCAUGGUCCGAGGAUGAAAGGCGCUUCGGCGUCGCCUGGGGAUGGCUUUGCGGUGCAUUAGCUAGUUGGGGGGGUAAUGGCCCACCAAGGCGACGAUGCAUGGCCGACCUGAAAGGGUGAUCGGCCACACUGGGACUGAGCCACGGCCCAGCCUCCUACGGGAGGCAGCAGUAGGGAAUCUUCCACAAAGGAGGAAAGUCUGAUGGAGCAACGCCGCGUGAACGAUGAAGGCCUUCGGGUCGUAAAGUUCUGUUGUAAGGGAAGAACAAGUGCCGCAGGCAAUGGCGGCACCUUGACGGUACCUUGCGAGAAAGCCACGGCUAACUACGUGCCAGCCGCCGCCGUAA
RNAcentral lists this ribosomal RNA (523 nucleotides) under uncultured bacterium. Its description in RNAcentral is "partial 16S ribosomal RNA". It matches the Rfam family "Bacterial small subunit ribosomal RNA", at positions 28 to 523 of the family's 1533-position model. The record is from RNAcentral.